This 11080-nucleotide long non-coding RNA is filed under the name Populus trichocarpa (black cottonwood). RNAcentral describes it as "long non-coding RNA (PTRI_LNC000094)". Lineage: Eukaryota; Viridiplantae; Streptophyta; Magnoliopsida; Malpighiales; Salicaceae. The record is from RNAcentral.
GUGAGAGCACACCGGUGAACCCAUGCUUGCUUUAUCUUUGCAUGUUUUAGUUUCUCCUUGGAUAUCUUGUUAACUGCAGCUGCUUUCCAAUGUCCUAUUUUUGAUUGUUUUGCCAGAUUUUUGGUUAAGCAUCAAAAUGGUCUUUUCAGAUUUUUCUUGGUUGGAUAUGUGUUACUAGUUAUUCAUAUGAAUUAGUGGUGUUCCUGGAUCUACUAUAAAGAUGUUAGUAGUUGUGGUUGGAGUUAGUUAGUUGUUAUAUGAUGCUUUUAUUGUGAUUUUUAUUUAUUGAGAUUAAAAAGAAAUGAAUUUAUAUCAUGCAUCACUUUUAUCAAUAAGAAGUGAAUUUACUGCUGAUGCUGCACAGAAAGAGGAGGAAUUUGUUUUCUCUGAUAUACUUGAGCGGCCAGUACCUUCUCUAUUGCGGGGUUUCAGCGCUCCAAUCCGUCUUGAAUCUGAUCUCUCUGACAGUGAUCUGUUUUUCCUCCUUGCUCAUGAUUCAGAUGAAUUCAACCGGUUUGUCUAUCUCUAAGCAUUUGUGCCAUUUUUCUUACUUUAAGUGACUGAUGGAAAGGUAUUUUGUACUCUUUUUUUUUUUGUUUCAGAUGGGAGGCUGGACAAGUCUUGGCUAGAAAACUGAUGCUCAGUUUAGUCUCUGAUUUCCAACAAGGGAAACCAUUGGUUCUGAACCCAAAGUUUGUGCAAGGGCUAAGAAGCGUACUUAGUGACUCGAACUUGGAUAAGGUAUGGCCAGUGUUUUUUCCUCAUCUUCCUCCUCUUGUUUGUGGGGAGGGAGGAGGUAGAAGAUUCUUGCACCAGAGUAGAUAGAAGAUGUAAUGCACUAAUGAGGCUUAAUCUUUUUGUUAUCCAGGAAUUUAUUGCAAAGGCAAUAACACUACCAGGUGAAGGAGAAAUAAUGGACAUGAUGGAAGUUGCAGAUCCUGAUGCUGUUCAUGCUGUUCAAUCUUUCAUCAGGAAGCAGCUUGCAUCUGAACUGAAAGCAGAGUUUUUACGCACAGUAUGGCCAGUCACCUUGGGUUUACUUUAUUUGUACUUAAUGUCUCCACUUCUUGAUUAAUCACUUUGGGUGAAUGAAUUUGUCAUACUUCACAGGUCGAAAACAAUAGGAGCUCAGAAGAGUAUAUGUUUAACCAUCCUAACAUGGCCAGGCGUGCUCUAAAGAAUAUUGCCCUUGGUCUGUGUUUCUUCUCUUGGUCUUGUGUUUCUUGGCAUCAUGGUUUUUAAAGUUUCUAGAUUAUAGUAACUAAUUUAAGUAGUUACACCUGUCUUUUCCACCAUCUGCAGCAUAUCUUGCAUCACUUGAAGACCAGGAGUUAACUGAGCUUGCAUUGCAUGAGUACAAAACUGCCACAAAUAUGACCGAUCAAUUUGCAGCUUUGGCAGCCAUAGCCCAAAAUCCUGGGAAAACUUGUGAUGGAGUACUUGCUGACUUCUACACCAAGUGGCAGGAUGAAUUUUUGGUGAGUCUUUUGCUGAGAGCAAUUCAUUUUACUUGUUUUGUCGUGCCCUGUUUCACCGAGGACAAGUAUAUUUGGAAAACAAUGACUUCCAUGAGGCUAUUAUAUCAUUGGAAGCCAUUUCAAGGAACAGAGCAUUGAAGUAAUUUUGUUAUCUCUUGUUGGAUAAUAUGUUCUCUCUUUCUGAUAGGUUGUGAAUAAUUGGUUUGCCCUUCAAGCUAUGUCUGAUGUUCCUGGUAAUGUUGAGAAUGUUCGGAACCUCUUGAAUCAUCCAGCAUUUGAUCUGCGCAAUCCAAACAAGGUAUGCAAUCAUCAAUAACUGUUUAUGUUUGUUUGUGUGCGCACCUUCAUGUGUCAAUUUCGAAGUUUUGAUUGAAAUUGAACCCUUUGUGUGAUAUGCAGGUACACUCACUCAUUAAAGCAUUCUGCAGCUCACUCGUGAAUUUCCAUGCAAAGGACGGGUCAGGCUACAAGUUCUUGGGGGAGAUUGUGGUGCAACUGGACAAAAUUAAUCCUCAGGUUUGUUUCUAUAUUACAUCCACGGAGUAGGAAGUAAAUUGUCGUUAUCACUAUGCUCAUGGGAUUGAUCAUCUGUAGUUGCUUGUUCAAUAACCUCCGUGGAUUCCAGAUGGCAUCCCGUAUGGUAUCAGCCUUCUCAAGAUGGAAACGCUAUGAUGAAACCCGGCAAAACCUUGCCAAGGUAAGUAGCUGGUGCCAUUUUUUCUGUGGAAUAACCAUCCAAAAGCAUUGAUGUUGCACACAUCAGAUUUACCUUUGAGAUUUGUUGUUGGCUGGCAUGUUAAUUUGUAUCCAAAUUGGCACGGUUUAAUGCAGGCACAGCUGGAGAUGAUCGUGUCUGCCAAUGGACUGUCAGAGAACGUAUUUGAGAUCGCCUCAAAAAGUUUAGCUGCUUAAAUGCCUAAAAUUUGCAGGUUGCAGUUGUUUGUCAUCAGUGCUUGCGACGGUGAUGUGGGACAAUAAGUGUGUUUGGCACAUUUGCAAGAUCACCAUGAUAAGCAUGCUGUCCUCGUUAUGUCUCUUUCAUGGAAGAGACAGGAUUCUGUAACUUUCAAUACAUCUUUACAUGGAAUAUUUCCCAAAAUAAUACCCUGAUGAUGCUUUUUUCUUCUUGGUUGGGUGAACUUGAAUGUUACUCCACUGAUGUUUUAAUGAAUAGUGUUAUAAGAGGAGGGGUACAAUAAAACUCUUCUUUUUUUGUUAACGAGAUUGUUAGCUUACGCUACAUUGUAGGCUAGAUUAAGAUUCUUUUCAAUGUGAAAAAUGUUCAAGCAUGGCUAAUAAGUUUUCUAGUAGAAAAAAAAAAAAAGAUUAUGUGAGAAUUAAUUAAUUCGAUUUGACAUGUUUAACUUGAUAGGUUUAAAGGUAACCCAAAUGACGAGUAAAAUCAUAGUCUAACUAAAAACACUCAAGACAACCAAUUUUUUUUUAAAAAAAAUAUCAAAACAUGAACAUAUUAGAAGGAUUUGAGUCAACUUGUUAAAUUCGAAACUUAGAUCAUGAUAACUCAAUAUAAAACAAAUCAAAAUAAAUUAUGAAGUUAAAUUCUCAAUCAAUCCAAUAUUGAAUGAUGAGAUUGAAAAAAAAAAUAAAAACAAAAAAAAUAACAUAAGCUAGCUUGAGCUAACAUGUCCAAUUCAUAACCUGAGUCGUGAGACUAGGAAAACCCCUUAAAAAGUAAAUCGAAACAAAUUAUGAAGUCUAAUUCUACGGUCAAUCCAAUAUUGAAGAAUGAAGUUGAAAAAAAUAAAUUAAAAAAGGACACAAAAAAUGACCCUAGUCAACCCGAGUUAACCGUUAAACCCAUGAUCCGAGUUAUGAGAUCGGGAUAACCUCAUAGAAAACAAAUCAAGAAAUUGACCCGUGACAACCCAAAUUACCUUGCCAAAACCGCAACUCGGAUCAUGAGAUAACUUUAUAUAAAACAAAUUGAAACAAAUUAUGAAACACAAUUUUUAAUCAACCUAUUUUUGAACAAUGAAAUUGAAUCCAAUAAAAAAAUAGACGAAAAAUAUCUCGAGUCAACUAAAAUUAACCUACAAAACUUGUGAUCAUGGUCAUUAGACCAAGAUAAUAUAAUAGAAAUUAAAUCGAAACAAAUCAUGAAAUCCAAUUCCUAAUCGAUUUAAUAUUAAAUGAUGAAAUAAAAAAAACACCAAUUAAAAUGAAAAAAUCCAAGUCCAUUGGGUUAAUACGCUAAACUCGUAACACAAAUCAUGAAAUUAGAAUAAUUACAUAAAAAACAAACAACAAAAAAAUCAUGAAGCUUAAUCUAUAAUGCAUUAAAUUAAACGUUGAAUAAUAAUAAUAAAAAAAAAACAAAGGCAACGAAAAAAAAUACUUAUAUAAUAAAUAGUAUUUUUCAAGGUGAUGCGCUGGAAGAAAAAACUAUUGAUUUUAGUAUUAAGUUAAUUAAUUUUAAUUCCAAUAUCAUUUUUUUAAGCUCAAAUAUAAUAAUCCAACAAGCAUUAUUAUUACACCGAUGUUCCAGACGUUCCCGUGCAUACGAUAUCCUGGCUGUACUAAUUGAAAAGAUAAUCAGAAGAAAAAAUUGUUAGGUGUGAGAGAGAGAGAGAGAGAGAGAGAGAGAGAGAGAGAGAGAGAGAGAGAGAGAAGUGGGGUAAAGGUUUAUGGGCAGAUUUUACGUAUGCUCUCCCAACCAGGAUUUUAUGCUCUCCAGAUUUUUUGUUAACACAUGUAAUCACCAAGAACAAGAGGAGCAGAAGGUGUUAAUGGAGUUUUAAAGUUUGAACUUGAGUGAAAUUACAUUCCUCAACUGCCCCCCACAAGUAUUGCCCCCCCAACUUGUGGACAGCCUAAGAGCACAAGAAGUAUGUGAAAAGGAUAAACAAACACAAACUUUUCUUUUUUCUUGGUGUUUUGUAGCUGUUUAACGGACAAAAGCUUAAUAAUCUUCCCUUUUUUAAUGGGAGCACAAUUAUUUGGUUUGCUUUCUCAUUUCUCCAAGCCCUUUGCAACCUAUACGGGCCAUGGGGGAGAAAAUAAUCACCAUUCUAAGUUUGAUCUCAACCCUCAACAUUGAGUGAUAAUUGUCUACUUUUGAGUAGCAUGUCUAAACCCACUAGACAAUAGUGUAGAAUAUCUUGUGUUGUUUUGUUUGGAAUUUUUUUUUUUAAAUUCGAGGAAACCCCACCUCUCGAAAAGUGUACUUUGUGAGCCCAGGUGAGCGAGUAAAAUCACGGUUAUCCCAGACUUUUACAAGAGGUGCACGUCCUGACUCGAACUCGAGACCUGCUGUGUAGAUCUCAAGCUCUUUACCAUCACGCUACGCCCCUUGGGAACUUUUUUGGACUGAUAAAUCCAAAUUCAUAAAUGUUAGCUUACAAGCUUAAAAAAAAAAAAAAAAAACUCUCAUAGUUUUAUCCUGAUGUAACCUUAAAGAUCGCAUAUUGGAGUAGCACUUGGUGCCUCAAAAAGUAAUUGAAAAUACCUUUUCAAAUAUGUUUAAAUUAACCAAAAAAAAUAUUCAACUUAUUAUGUUUUAAUGAUAUUGAUAUUGUCAUUAAAACAUUCACAUUUUUAUUUCGUAUUAAAAACGGAAAUGUAUCAUAUUCUCACAGCUAGUAUUGGAACUUCAACGUAAAUGCAUCGACAAGCACGCGAUUCCGACCAAAUCAAAUCUAUGGAUUUCAAAAAAAAAAAAAAAAAAAACCAUAUCUACAAACUUAGAUGUUAGAUGUUGAGGUAAUAGAUUUGGCUCGGCAUUCCGAUUCUUAACCAUUAUGUUAAAUAUUUUAUUUAUUUUUGUGUUUAAAAUAUUUUUUUAAAAAAAUUAUUUUUUUUAUUUUUUUCUUGCUUUCAAAUUAAGUUUUUUGGUAUUUUUAUAUUGUUUUAAUGUGCUGAUGUCAAAAAUAAUUUUUUUAAAAAAUUUUUUAUUUUGAUAAAUUUCUUAACCAAAAAUACUUUGAAAAAUAACUGUAACCAUAUUCUCAAACACCCAUUUAAUAUAGUAAAUGGGUGGAUUUUUUUUGGCUAUAAGUAUAAAUAAUAAAACUUUAGGUUAUAAUCUAGGUAGAAGAACAAGGCAACCUUUGAAAUGUAGAGACGUAGAUGUCUCACAGGAGCUUGGCAUUUUCUUUUUGAGCUAGAGUGAGUCAGAUUGGAUUAAAAGCAAUCAAUUUUUGAGUUAGAUUAGCUUAAAAAGAAUUUACCAGGACCGAAGCAUGUCCGAGCCAUGACCGAAUGUGCUUGUUGGUUUUUCAAAAUUUCUUUAAAAUCCAAAAUUGACGCCAUAUCCAAGACUUGGAAGUGAAUACAACGUAAAUGAUACCAGAGCCCACCAAUCACCCAGACCGAGAAUUUAAGUAUUAACACAGUAGCCCAUCUCUUGUUUCGGGCCUAGUGUGUGUGUGUGUGUGUGUGUGUAUUCCACAAGAUUUUUCAUUCAAGAGAACAGGUUUACUGGACCAGGAGAGCCCAUGUUUCUAAAGAUGACAGGCUCUUACAGACUGUCUUAACCAAACUAACUCCCUAUUGGACAGGACAGAACAAAACAAAAGCAUAAUUAUUAGAUCAUUAGACUUUUAAAUGUAAUUGAACAUCUUUUACUAUUUCCUUACAAAUCUGUGGGGUUGGAGGCAGGUUGUGACACGCAAGGCGUUGAAUGAUGAAGUUGUCUUUUUGAAAUGAAGGGUGUAUUAGUUAGAAGGAUUUAUCGUUUAGUAUUCUAUUCACUAAAAAAUCUAUAAUUUAGAAGAAUCUAGAAAACAUUGUGACACGCACAUUCACUCAUGCACCCGAUAAAGUGUCAUGGAAAAUUGUGAAUUUUUUCCGUGAUUGAUUUGUUUUGCUUGGUGUUUCAUGCAUGUAUAUGACCUUAUUGUGCAUUCCUUGACAUAUUUUCAGAGAGAUAAGCAAGACAGAAGGAGACUAAUUUGUGCAGUCGCCACAGAACCAUUACCCAAGCAAGUUGAAGAAUCCAAAAUGGACGCACCAAAAGAAAUCUUUCUCAAGGAUUACAAGUUGCCUGACUACUACUUUGAUUCGGUAUGCAAAAACUUAGUCGAGUUUGGAAUAUAGACAUCUAGGACUCUGAUUUUCUUUCUUUGGCUUUCACUUAUCCUCAUGUACUUGUAUCCUUAUCUUAGGUGGAUUUGACAUUUUUGCUGGGUGAUGAGAAAACAAUUGUUAGUUCGAAAAUAACUGUUUUACCCAGAGUUGAAGGUAACUAUUAAGGCCAUUCUUUGCUCGUAGAAUUUGAUCAGACAUCUGUAGGAAAUUUGCAAAUGUUGUUCUUACAAUGGCAGUUCAUACCAUAGCACUGGCUAAUCGAACACUAUUGUUGAAUAGGUUCUUCUUCUCCGCUAGUUUUGGAUGGAGCAGACCUGAAGCUGCUUUCAGUUAAAGUCAAUGGUGAGGAACUGAAGGUAUGUAUAUUUCACUCUUCCAGAUGUUGGCUUAGCUUGUGGAUUUUUCCACUUAACUAUAUUGGAAAGCUUUUUUGCCUUUUCGAUCCUGAUAUUUGUCUACACUCUUUCCUAUAGGAGGUUUUGAUAAUGUUAUACCUUUUCCUUUUUUUGCAUUUUAUUAGUCCAAGGAUGCUGACACCCAGUUAGAACAGUUGCCAUUUUGUGAUGUUUGGCACUUUAUUCCUUUUCUUUCCUCAUCUCUCUCUCUGUUUUUUUUUUCUCUUCUUUCUCUCUUCUUUCUUUUUUUGGGGCGGGGAGGGUUUAAGAUAAUUUGGUGAUGAUUUAACACAACUUUAUUUUUGCGCUUUUCUUUUUUCCAGAAUGGAGAUUAUCAUUUGGAAUCACGCCAUUUAACAAUCCUAUCACCACCUUCUGGUAAAUUUACGUUGGAAAUUGUUACUGAGAUAUAUCCCCAGAAGAACACAUCAUUGGAGGUACAACAUAUUUUCUCUCGUCCUUUUCACAGAUGCUUCUUGUGACUGUUUGCUAGAUUUGAAGUUGCACUAUCCUUUUUUCUCUUUAGGGACUUUACAAGUCAUCUGGGAAUUUCUGCACUCAAUGUGAAGCAGAGGGUUUCCGCAAAAUUACAUAUUAUCAGGUUAAUUCAUAGAACCAUUUAAUUCUAUUGAUUCAUUCUGCUAAAUACAACUUUAAAAUAUUUUAUUUUAAUAUGUUAACAGGAUCGCCCUGAUAUAAUGGCAAAAUACACUGUCCGGAUUGAAGCUGAUAAAUCUUUGUACCCAGUAUUGCUAUCUAAUGGAAAUCUCUUGGAACAAGGAGACCUUGAGGUGAAUUUACCUGUUAUGUAGAAUAGCCUCCCCCAUCCACCAAAAAAUAAAAUAAAAUUAAUCACCAUCGAAUGUCUGCUUCUCUGGUUCUGUUGCAGGGUGGUAAGCAUUAUGUUCUAUGGGAGGAUCCCUUCAAGAAACCUUGCUAUUUGUUUGCAUUGGUUGCUGGACAGCUGGAGAGCAGAGAUGACAUGUUUGUUACCCGUUCUGGUCGAAAUGUGUCACUAAGAAUUUGGACCCCUGCACAAGAUGUACCCAAGACAGCACAUGCCAUGUAUUCACUUAAAGCAGCAAUGAAAUGGGAUGAGGAUGUUAGUAUCUUCCUAUCUAACCCAUUAUUUAAAAAUAACAUCAAACCUAACUUUUGGGUUUUAGUGUUAAGAGUCUUACCAUUUUAUCAUGCGACUCUGCAAACAGGUUUUUGGUCUUGAAUAUGACCUAGAUCUCUUUAACAUUGUUGCUGUCCCUGAUUUUAACAUGUAAGUUACAUUCUUUGUUUAGUAAAACGUGCUCAUAUAAUAGCCCUUUAUCUUGUUUGAUCUGUAUAAUGGUGACAAAUACUGUUAGUUUCAUGCACUUAAGCACUCACACUACUUGUUUCUGAUUGAUUGUCAGGGGAGCCAUGGAGAACAAAAGUUUGAAUGUAUGUCAUCUAACAUUCUCGAGUUCAUCAUCAUUUAUAUUUGUUUAUUUUAUCUUCUUAUUAACACCAAAAAUUAAUUGAUCUUAUCUAUAUGGAUUUCCUUUUGGCAGAUUUUCAAUUCCAAGCUUGUUUUGGCAUCCCCAGAAACUGCUUCAGAUGCAGAUUAUGCUGCUAUUCUUAGGGUUAUUGGCCAUGAGGUUUGUUAUGAUAUAACAGAAGGAGCAUAUUUUUUCAAAACCUUUUGUAUGAUUCCGAGGAAUGUAUUGUUUUGACUUGAAUUUUGUCUUGUUUCUAUCUGCAGUAUUUCCACAACUGGACAGGCAACAGGUUGGCUUAAAGUCCUCCCAUUUUUUAUCCUGUCUUUAUGCCAGUGUUAUUGCAUUCUAUUUUUAUAUGCAGAGAAAUAAGAUCUGUGUUGUUGCAGUAUGUUUGUAGUGGAUUUGUUGUUCUAGUGGUCAUGGAGAUGAAUGUAUUUUUUAUUGCUUUUGUUUUAUUGUGAAUUACUGUAUGUAUUGAAACUUUAAUUAAGUGAUAUCUGAAUAAAUGCAGGGUUAUGAAGCUGACGCGGAUCGUCGCACGAUCGGGCCUUCUAACUGUAUUUCGUGAUCAGGUAGAACUCUUUUCUUUCCUAUAUAACGAGUGGCAAUUUCAUAGUCAUAUUAGUACCUUCUUUAUUUAUUCUUGAAAAUCUUUCAACAAUGCUAGGAGUUUUCAUCUGAUAUGGGAAGCCGCACUGUGAAGAGGAUCUCUGAUGUUUCAAAGCUUCGAAUUUCUCAGUUCCCACAGGUUCUUUCUUGUCCUUUUUCACAAUUUUGAAGUGAUGUCUUAAGUAUUAAUCUUCAGGUGUUUAAAUUACUUUCACAAUUAUAAGUUGAUACAUGAGUAUGCUUUCUCUAUAAUUUCACAUGGAUUCUGAUACAACAUACUAUAUGCAAGCACUAACAAAGCUAUUUUGUAAUCAUUCAGGAUGCCGGUCCUAUGGCUCAUCCAGUGCGACCACAUUCAUAUAUCAAGGUAUGAAAUCUACUUAUUUAUCAAAGAACUUUUCUGUUAAACUAUCUGCUUGCUUUAAACUUAAUUUUUAGAUGUGUACUGUAUUCAAUGUCGCUGCCUCUUUAUCCACAGAUGGACAACUUCUACACAGGUUAGUUUCUGCUCUGUAUGACUUAUUCAGUCAAAGCUUCAUGAAACACUUUGCUUUCAAGUGGUUUGGAAUUUGGUCUUUUAACUUUUUUGAUAUUUGGCUGUCUUUUGCAAUGACGUUGGGUUCAUUCUGAUACGGGACUUUUCACCGCCAAAAAUUUGCAGUGACGGUAUGGUUUGGAAAUUUGUGGUUGCAUCUUUUAAUUUUGUUCAGUUUUCCUCCUUUCACGAGGCCAGUUACCUCAUUGUUAAUCUUUUGGGUUUUCUUUCUUGUUUUUCUUCGUUGCAGGUGUAUGAAAAGGUAUGAAAGCAUUCUCAUCUUGUGUAUAUGUGUGCAUGUGUGUGGAUAAGGAGCACUGUUGAUGCAUCAAAUUCUUAUUUUUGUGUAUCAGGGAGCGGAAGUUGUCAGGAUGUACAAAACCUUAUUAGGGAGUCAAGGUUUCAGAAAGGUAUUCUUGUGUGAUAAUCAGCUAUACCAUAAAAGUGUGCAUCCUGGAAAAUUUAACCACAAUUGUUUUUCGUAUUUCAGGGCAUGGAUCUUUAUUUUAAAAGACAUGAUGGUCAAGCUGUGACAUGUGAAGAUUUUUUUGCUGCCAUGCGAGAUGCAAAUGAUGCAGAUUUCGCUAAUUUCUUACAAUGGUAUAGACCUGUCUUUUAUUUUCUUUGAAUUACCCUCUGUUUUUUUAUGCUUACCUUGGAAUGUAAUAAAAUUACAGGUACUCCCAAGCUGGUACACCUCUGGUGAAAGUUACUUCAUCUUAUGAUGCUGAAGCUCAUACUUUCACCUUAAAGUUCAGGUAUACAUGCUAACUUCCUUGCGAGAGGCAUGAUCUUCCUUUAUUAGUCUUGUGGUAUGACUGACAACUCGGAAUCUGGAUAUUCCACAGUCAAGAAGUACCACCAACGCCAGGGCAACCAGUUAAAGAACCCAUGUUCAUUCCUGUGGUGUUAGGGCUGCUCGACACAAGUGGCAAGGACAUGUCACUCUCGUCUGUGUAUCAUGAUGGAGCAUUGAAGUCUAUUGCAAGUGACAGUCAACCAGCCUAUAGUACAAUUCUUAGAGUAACCAAGGUGAGAGCACACCGGUGAACCCAUGCUUGCUUUAUCUUUGCAUGUUUUAGUUUCUCCUUGGAUAUCUUGUUAACUGCAGUUGAUUUCCAAUGUCCUAUUUUUGAUUGUUUUGCCAGAUUUUUGGUUAAGCAUCAAAAUGGUCUUUUCAGAUUUUUCUGGGUUGGAUAUGUGUUACUAGUUAUUCAUAUGAAUUAGUGGUGUUCCUGGAUCUACUAUAAAGAUGUUAGUAGUUGUGGUUGGAGUUAGUUAGUAGUUAUAUGAUGCUUUUAUUGUGAUUUUUAUUUAUUGAGAUUAAAAAGAAAGGAAUUUAUAUCAUGCAUCACUUUUAUUAAUAAGAAGUGAAUUUACUGCUGAUGCUGCACAGAAAGAGGAGGAAUUUGUUUUCUCUGAUAUACUUGAGCGGCCAGUACCUUCUCUAUUGCGGGGUUUCAGCGCUCCAAUCCGUCUUGAAUCUGAUCUCUCUGACAGUGAUCUGUUUUUCCUCCUUGCUCAUGAUUCAGACGAAUUCAACCG